CUGCAGUGAUGAUUAUUUAGGACACCUUUGAUUGAAACAUGAAGAGAAUCUUAAUAUCUGAGCGAU
Molecule: small nucleolar RNA, 66 nt
Organism: Anoplopoma fimbria (sablefish)
Lineage: Eukaryota; Metazoa; Chordata; Actinopteri; Perciformes; Anoplopomatidae
Product: small nucleolar RNA SNORD58
Exons: 1
Source: RefSeq, a predicted model, not a curated record